AUCCUCUGUGCAGAAAAAAAAUUGUGAAAAUGCUUUUCUGCAGGACAUUUGCUGCGUAAGCUGACAACGUACUGAGAAAAGUGAUGCCCUUCAGCGAAGUGGUGUUCUCAGCUGGGGACAUACACUAGGGACAUUCCGAAUCCUUUUGGACCGCUUCACAACGUGCAGGAACGGCUACGCUGUGACGCCGUUGCAGAUAGCAGCGAGCAAUGGACGCUUUUGGACAGGACAUCUGCUGCGUCAGUUGACAACGUACUGAGAGAAGUGAAACCCUUCAGCGAGGUGAUGUUCUCAGCUGGGGACAUACUCUAGGGACAUUCCGAAUCCGCUUGGACCGCUUUACAACGUGCAGGAACGGCUACGCUGUGACGCCGUUGCAGAUAGCAGCGAGCAGUGGACGCUUUUGGACAGGUUAUAUGCUGCGUCCGUUGACAACGUGCUGAGAGAAGGGAAACCGUUCAGCGAGGUGUUCUCAGCUGGAGACAUACACUAGGGACAUUCCGAAUCCUUUUGGACCGCUUCACAACGUGCAGGAACGGCUACGCUGUGACGCCGCUGCAGAUAGCAGCGAGAAGUGGAUGCCCUUGGACAGGUUAUUUGCUGGGUCACUCUACAACGUGCAGCAACGGCGGCGUUGCAACGAUGGCCACGACGCCACCGGUGGGUUGUCAAACAUUUUUGGAAAGGGUCCUUUUCCCUUUUUGGGUCACUUUUUGGUGUGAGGUCCUUUUGUUUGGAAUUACCGACUCUGGGGGUAUGCUCUGGUUAUAUAGAUUGGGGAGUAGCUCUUAGCAGCUGUGGUUAGACGGCACAAUGUGUGUCGAAGCAUCGCCCCUCGACGCACCUCGUUAUAUGCUCCGCUGUUUUUCUAUCUACCGCUACUGUGGUAGAGAAUAACUC
RNAcentral lists this long non-coding RNA (900 nucleotides) under Dermacentor andersoni. RNAcentral's name for it is "uncharacterized LOC126519131". Lineage: Eukaryota; Metazoa; Arthropoda; Arachnida; Ixodida; Ixodidae. The record is from RNAcentral.